RNAcentral lists this ribosomal RNA (2355 nucleotides) under Proteus mirabilis. Its description in RNAcentral is "partial 23S ribosomal RNA". It matches the Rfam family "Bacterial large subunit ribosomal RNA", at positions 592 to 2925 of the family's 2925-position model. Lineage: Bacteria; Pseudomonadati; Pseudomonadota; Gammaproteobacteria; Enterobacterales; Morganellaceae. The record is from RNAcentral.
GGUGACUGCGUACCUUUUGUAUAAUGGGUCAGCGACUUAUAUUCUGUAGCAAGGUUAACCGUAUAGGGGAGCCGUAGGGAAACCGAGUCUUAACUGGGCGAAUGAGUUGCAGGGUAUAGACCCGAAACCCGGUGAUCUAUCCAUGGGCAGGUUGAAGGUUGGGUAACACUAACUGGAGGACCGAACCGACUAAUGUUGAAAAAUUAGCGGAUGACUUGUGGAUGGGGGUGAAAGGCCAAUCAAACCGGGAGAUAGCUGGUUCUCCCCGAAAGCUAUUUAGGUAGCGCCUCGUGAACUCAUCUUCGGGGGUAGAGCACUGUUUCGACUAGGGGGUCAUCCCGACUUACCAACUCGAUGCAAACUGCGAAUACCGAAGAAUGUUAUCACGGGAGACACACGGCGGGUGCUAACGUCCGUCGUGAAGAGGGAAACAACCCAGACCGCCAGCUAAGGUCCCAAAGUCAUGGUUAAGUGGGAAACGAAGUGGGAAGGCUCAGACAGCCAGGAUGUUGGCUUAGAAGCAGCCAUCAUUUAAAGAAAGCGUAAUAGCUCACUGGUCGAGUCGGCCCGCGCGGAAGAUGUAACGGGGCUAAACCAUGCACCGAAGCUGCGGCAGCGACACUUAGGUGUUGUUGGGUAGGGGAGCGUUCUGUAAGCCUGCGAAGGUGUACUGUGAGGUAUGCUGGAGGUAUCAGAAGUGCGAAUGCUGACAUAAGUAACGAUAAUGCGGGUGAAAAACCCGCACGCCGGAAGACCAAGGGUUCCUGUCCAACGUUAAUCGGGGCAGGGUGAGUCGACCCCUAAGGCGAGGCUGAAAAGCGUAGUCGAUGGGAAACGGGUUAAUAUUCCCGUACUGGUGGUAACUGCGAUGGGGGAACGGAGAAGGCUAGGUUGUCCGGGCGACGGUCGUCCCGGUUCAAGCAUGUAGGCAGAGUGAUUAGGCAAAUCCGGUCACUUAAUGCUGAGGUGUGAUGACGAGCCACUAAGGUGGUGAAGCAAUUGAUGCCCUGCUUCCAGGAAAAGCCUCUAAGCUUCAGGUUACCAACAAUCGUACCCCAAACCGACACAGGUGGUCAGGUAGAGAAUACUCAGGCGCUUGAGAGAACUCGGGUGAAGGAACUAGGCAAAAUGGUGCCGUAACUUCGGGAGAAGGCACGCUGGCGGUAAGUGAAGUCCCUUGCGGACGGAGCCGAAGCCAGUCGAAGAUACCAGCUGGCUGCAACUGUUUAUUAAAAACACAGCACUGUGCAAACACGAAAGUGGACGUAUACGGUGUGACGCCUGCCCGGUGCUGGAAGGUUAAUUGAUGGGGUUAUCCUUAGGGAGAAGCUCUUGAUCGAAGCCCCAGUAAACGGCGGCCGUAACUAUAACGGUCCUAAGGUAGCGAAAUUCCUUGUCGGGUAAGUUCCGACCUGCACGAAUGGCGUAAUGAUGGCCAGGCUGUCUCCACCCGAGACUCAGUGAAAUUGAACUCGCUGUGAAGAUGCAGUGUACCCGCGGCAAGACGGAAAGACCCCGUGAACCUUUACUAUAGCUUGACACUGAACAUUGAGCCUUGAUGUGUAGGAUAGGUGGGAGACUAUGAAGUGUGGACGCCAGUCUGCAUGGAGUCAACCUUGAAAUACCACCCUUUAACGUUUGAUGUUCUAACCUAGGCCCAUAAUCUGGGUCGGGGACCGUGUCUGGUGGGUAGUUUGACUGGGGCGGUCUCCUCCUAAAGAGUAACGGAGGAGCACGAAGGUUGGCUAAGCAUGGUCGGACAUCAUGCGGUUAGUGCAAAGGCAUAAGCCAGCUUGACUGUGAGAGUGACGGCUCGAGCAGGUACGAAAGUAGGUCUUAGUGAUCCGGUGGUUCUGAAUGGAAGGGCCAUCGCUCAACGGAUAAAAGGUACUCCGGGGAUAACAGGCUGAUACCGCCCAAGAGUUCAUAUCGACGGCGGUGUUUGGCACCUCGAUGUCGGCUCAUCACAUCCUGGGGCUGAAGUAGGUCCCAAGGGUAUGGCUGUUCGCCAUUUAAAGUGGUACGCGAGCUGGGUUUAGAACGUCGUGAGACAGUUCGGUCCCUAUCUGCCGUGGGCGUUGGAAGAUUGAGAGGGGUUGCUCCUAGUACGAGAGGACCGGAGUGAACGCACCACUGGUGUUCGGGUUGUCAUGCCAAUGGCAUUGCCCGGUAGCUAAGUGCGGAAGAGAUAACCGCUGAAAGCAUCUAAGCGGGAAACUUGCCUCGAGAUGAGUCUUCCCUGUCACCUUGAGUGACCUAAAGGAACGUUUAAGACUAAGACGUUGAUAGGCUGGGUGUGUAAGCGUAGCGAUACGUUGAGCUAACCAGUACUAAUGAACCGUGAGGCUUAACCUG